UACGUAGGGUGCAAGCGUUGCUCGGAAUGACUGGGCGUAAAGGGCGCGUAGGCGGAUGGCACAGUCAGAUGUGAAAUUCCCGGGCUUAACCUGGGGGCUGCAUUUGAUACGUGUUGUCUUGAGUUCGGAAGAGGGUCGUGGAAUUCCCAGUGUAGAGGUGAAAUUCGUAGAUAUUGGGAAGAACACCGGUGGCGAAGGCGGCGACCUGGUCCGACACUGACGCUGAGGCGCGAAAGCGUGGGGAGCAAACAGG
This 253-nucleotide ribosomal RNA is filed under the name uncultured bacterium. RNAcentral's name for it is "partial 16S ribosomal RNA". It matches the Rfam family "Bacterial small subunit ribosomal RNA", at positions 524 to 776 of the family's 1533-position model. The record is from RNAcentral.